UCCCUGCCUGCAGGUUCUGCUCGGGGUGGUACCUUCACCCAGCCUUGGGGCUGCUGUGCCCUGCAGCACAUUGCUCUUUACAGCCCAGCCGGAGGCAGCAGCACUGGGAGCUGCCUGCAGAAACUGAAAGGCAAAGGAGAGGAACAGUGAAACUAAACAAGACUGGAGUCCUAUCAAAGCUUUCGGGAGAACAGGAUUAGGGCUGCACUGGGUAACAUCCACUUGCAGAUGGAGCAUCUGGCACUGUGACCAGAACUUUAUCACCAUUCAGAGUAAUGUGAUGUACUCAAAGAACAAGAAUGCUCAAUUUUUCCUUCACUGGUUUCCUGAUGGAAGACACAAGUCUCAUGAGAAGAAGAACAGGUUAGGUUAACAUCUCCUGGUACUCUAGGAUUGCUGCCCCUCUCUCCAGUUUCUCCUGGCCUGUACCCUGAUGGCCUCCCCAGACACCAGCACUGUGGAAUGCAGAAUGUAUACAUAUUUUCUUGGGAGACAAUGUUGGCUGUCUCCAGUUUUGGCAUAACUUGUCUCUCCUGUGACAAACCUACUGAAUCUUUAGAAAGAAUUAGUUAGAAAAUGAAAACAUAAAGCCAACCAGUAAACACGACCGUCUUUGUACGUUUAAACACACCACUACCUCUGCUGUGAAGUUUGCUGCUCCUGGUUAGAUGCCAUAUUGAGACUAAUGAAGUUGGAGCAGUCACUGAUCUCACCCUGUAAGUGAUGGAGCAGUGUAAGCUGAAACCAAAAAUAAACUCAUCUGCUAUCAAGGACAAUCAGAAGCUUUCACAGGGAAUUUCAAAGCAGAUGGGCAAAAAGACUGUGAAAGAUGCUGCUUUAUUUCUUUCAAGGAAUAUGAAAAGGCUGCAAAUCUCAGAGCAAUGUUGAAGUUGCAAUGCGGCUCUUUCAGUCUGUGUGAGUUACAGAGGGGGCUUUCUACCUAAG
Molecule: long non-coding RNA, 945 nt
Organism: Pezoporus flaviventris
Lineage: Eukaryota; Metazoa; Chordata; Aves; Psittaciformes; Psittacidae
Exons: 3
Source: RefSeq, a predicted model, not a curated record